GGAGGGUUCGUGCAGCAGCAGCCAGCAUCAGGGAGCCGUCGGCAGGGCCGGGACACAGAGACAAAUCAGGCCGAAGCUCUACCUUCCAAAGAGUUCGAGUGUGGUUGGCAGACCAAAUAGAAAUGUUUUACGGCCUGGGGAAGGGAGAGCGAUGCCUGCGAGCCAGCGAGAGUGUGAGCUUGUAUGCUUUUUACGCGUCCAUCAGAAGAAAGAGGGAUGAGAAAGCCAAGAAAUCAGCGAUGGCAGGCUUGCCUCAGACUCCUUCAAGUCAAUCCCCGAUUCCCCACGCACCUAUCGAGAACCUACCCCAUGCAUGCAGAUAGGCAGGAUGAGAAGAUGACCCACACAUGGUCCCCGCAG
Neofelis nebulosa (Clouded leopard) is the source of this 360-nucleotide long non-coding RNA. RefSeq lists it as uncharacterized. The transcript has 2 exons. The record is from RefSeq and is a predicted model, not a curated record. Lineage: Eukaryota; Metazoa; Chordata; Mammalia; Carnivora; Felidae.